CAACCAGGGAGAUAUUCGCAUGAUCAGAUUACAUAAAAGUAGCUUACAUAAUCUCACCACUAACGACAUACUCGUAACUAAUUAAGCAUCCUAUGCUUUAUUAACCAAGUAAACAUAACAAAAUGUUCCUAAACAUUAGCCACUACUAUUUUGUAUCAAUCAAUAUGUUGCUCCAUAUAACAUCAUUGUGUCUUUUCACAUAAAAAUCUCAUAUUUCUUAACGAGUACUCCAUUUGUUCUAGCUAACAUUAGCUUUGGAAUAGUUGUCGGUGAUUUUUUAGGAUGUACAGUAAAUAUCACACAAAGAUAUACAAAGAUCUCUCACUACUACAAAAAAAAGGCCUAAGGAACUAUUUAUAAGGCACCAUAAAAAUCAUUAAUCCGAUUUCUUAGUUAAGGAAACCUUACACGAGAGAUAUAUGGUUUCUUAUAAGAAAAAUAAGGAACCUUAUAUCACUAAAAUGUGGUUUCUUAGAUUUUAUUUUAAUAUUUAUUUAUAAUAGUGAGAUAUAGCAGGGCUGGAGAUAAGGUACAAAGAACCGAUUGCUCAAGAUAAGUUUGUUUGCAGAUCUGUGACGGCUGGCUUGUGAGAAUCGGAACCGUGAAACUAUCUCUAGCCUCCCUACACGCACCUGAAUCAUCGGGGAUAUUGUUUUAGUUCCUUGAGCAGGCAUACCAAGCCUAGUCCGGCUGCCGACGACACUCAUACUUGAGCAGACUCGUUCGAGCGGUUCACCGAAAGAAUGGCGGCUGAGUUAUAAUUAAUUGAUCAUAUGCAACGCUAAAUCUCGAGUCUCUUUUUCUUUCUUAACUGCUCAAAACCCCAAAAUUACAAUACGGGGAUGCAAUUUAUCCAGCUUUGGUGUUAAUUUGAUUAAUUUCCUAUAUAGUUGUAUGUUUGGGUAUGACUAAUUUCUGUAACUUCGGUAAAUUAUUUUUCCGAUUGCUUCGUUUUUCUUUUUUGGGUUUCUUCGAUUUGUUUGUUCUUUUAUCAAUUAUUUAAAUGAAUUGUUGUUUAAAUCGA
This is a long non-coding RNA of Spinacia oleracea (spinach), 1024 nucleotides long. RefSeq lists it as uncharacterized. The transcript has 2 exons. The record is from RefSeq and is a predicted model, not a curated record. NCBI's taxonomy places the organism in Eukaryota, Viridiplantae, Streptophyta, Magnoliopsida, Caryophyllales, Amaranthaceae.